Molecule: ribosomal RNA, 494 nt
Filed under: uncultured bacterium
Lineage: Bacteria
Description: partial 16S ribosomal RNA
Rfam family: Bacterial small subunit ribosomal RNA
Source: RNAcentral
GACGAACGCUGGCGGCGCGCUUAACACAUGCAAGUCGAACGGAAAGGCCUGCUUUCCCUUGUGGAUUGCGGGUACUCGAGUGGCGAACGGGUGAGUAACACGUGAGUGAUCUGCCCCCAACUUGGGUAUAAGCCUGGGAAACUGGGUCUAAUUCCCGAUAGGACUGCAGGGUGGUGCCUGUGGUGGAAAACGAUUUUCUAGUGGUUGGGGAUGAGCUCGCGGCCUAUCAGCUUGUUGGUGGGGUAAUGGCCUACCAAGGCGGCGACGGGUAGCCGGCCUGAGAGGGUGGACGGCCACAUUGGGACUGAGAUACGGCCCAGACGCCUACGGGAGGCAGCAGUGGGGAAUAUUGCACAAUGGGCGGAAGCCUGAUGCAGUGACGCCGCGUGGGGGAUGACGGCCUUCGGGUGGUAAACUCCUUUCGACCGCGAGGAAGCCACCUGGUUGGAAGGGUGGUGACGGUAGUGGUAGAAGAAGCACCGGCUAACUACGUG